CGUGCCGUGAGGUGUCGGGUUAAGUCCCAUACGAGCGCAACCUUACCGUUAGUUGCCAUCGGGUCAAGCCGGGGACGUCUAGCGGGACUGCCACCGUAAGGUGAGAGGAAGGUGGGGAUGACGUCAAAUCAGCACGGCCCUUAUGUCCAGGGCUACACACGUGUUACAAUGGCCGGUACAGAGGGCAGCUACCUGGUGACAGGAUGCUAAUCCCGAAAGCCGGUCCCAGUUCGGAUUGGAGUCUGCAACCCGACUCCAUGAAGUUGGAUUCGCUAGUAAUCGCGCAUCAGCCAUGGCGCGGUGAAUACGUUCCCGGGCCUU
This 321-nucleotide ribosomal RNA is filed under the name uncultured Sphingobacteriales bacterium. RNAcentral describes it as "bacterial SSU rRNA". It matches the Rfam family "Bacterial small subunit ribosomal RNA", at positions 1061 to 1382 of the family's 1533-position model. The record is from RNAcentral. Lineage: Bacteria; Pseudomonadati; Bacteroidota; Sphingobacteriia; Sphingobacteriales.